AAAAAUAUCACUUGAAGGAGGGAUUUCUGUAGACGACGCCUUCAAGGGAGGAGGAUGUGACUAUGUGACUCGAGACAAACAAACGGUGCAAUUGCAACAAUAGAAUUAGUCAGAGGUAUGGUUACUAUCAGCAGCGUUACACACAGUGUGCAUUGUUAAUACACCAAUCCCUGAGAAAACAUUCCAAUGGAAAAUAUUGGGAAUUUCUGCCCUUCCAUCCUGAACUGCACAAUGCUGGGUUAGACAGUACGAAAAAUUCUUCUCUCGGAAGUUUAUGACUUUGAACUUGCUUGAGGUGACCCUUGAGACAAGAAGCCUUUCCUGCUUUGUGUGGACAGGAACAUUAGAGGCAUUGAUGUCUGUAACCAACAAGUGUUUUGCAAAGAAAGUAAAAAGAAACAUUGAUGUUGGUUAUCCUCGUGCGUGAUGCUGAAGCCUGGUAUCUUAUUGAUGCAUUGGUUCUAUUCAUGGGGAAAAGAAUGUUGUGUGGGAGAAACAGGAUCACAAUUGAUUUUAAUAAUCGCAAAGUCACGAGAAAUAUGCUAAUAGGGUUUCGCUGUGUUAAUGAGUUCGAACAGGAUAUUGAUGGAGGUUUGGUGUAAAAGAAGUAUGUGUACAAUGUUGGAAGGGCGACUGAAGAUUUCCGGAUUCUUCUAUUAUCUCCCAUGUUAUGGUAGACUAUUUAUACAAAUAUGUUGCAGUGCACAUCAGGGCUCCCUUCUUUUCUGUGGCCCCGUUUCCCCUUGACUUGUGAUAAGCCCAUAGGGGGUCAUGCCCCUACUGUGAUCAGCAGUAAAGGUUGUGAGUGCGCUGUCCGGAAAGGGAACGUGGGGGUC
Long non-coding RNA from Daphnia magna, 836 nucleotides. RefSeq lists it as uncharacterized. Lineage: Eukaryota; Metazoa; Arthropoda; Branchiopoda; Diplostraca; Daphniidae. The record is from RefSeq and is a predicted model, not a curated record. The transcript has 6 exons.